This is a non-coding RNA of Octopus bimaculoides (California two-spot octopus), 119 nucleotides long. The record is from Rfam. Lineage: Eukaryota; Metazoa; Mollusca; Cephalopoda; Octopoda; Octopodidae.
GUUUACGGCCAUAUCACUUUGAAAACACCGGUUCUCGUCCGAUCACCGAAGUUAAGCAACGUCGAGUCUAGUUAGUACUUAGAUGGGUGACCGCUUGGGAAACCUAGGUGCUGUAAAAG